This 982-nucleotide long non-coding RNA is filed under the name Homo sapiens (human). RNAcentral describes it as "HSALNT0373988". Lineage: Eukaryota; Metazoa; Chordata; Mammalia; Primates; Hominidae. The record is from RNAcentral.
GCCUCCCGGGCGGCGCUUGCCGGCGCGGCGGCAAAGACUUCACAUCCCUGUUAAAGGCAUCCCAUUUUUAUUUCUUUUGUAAAGAGUGGAAACUUUUGGCAGGAGAAUUAUCAACCACGUGACUCCUUUAGGUGUAAUAUUUGCUUAAGAUGUGAUAUACACCAAUGAAUGGUUUGGAGGUCAACUGCAGUGAGGUCUCUAUACCACAGAGUGUUGUUGGCGUCUCACAUGGCCAUUCAUCAGCUCAAUACAAACAAGUCUUCACGGAGGUGGAGUUUCCUCCUCACCUGUUGCUAAACCAGGCAGCGUGGAUUGGCAUAUUCACUGACUUCAUGGCACGAAGGCCUACAAAAGCGGAACAACUUUUCACCAGUGCAAAAAUGUUCCAAAAGAUACUCUCUCUGUCCAAUACACUUGUAAGUGCAUUCUAGAAUAUAAAAAAUAGAGAGAGAUAAAUGUUCUGUUGAAAGAUAAUCUCCCAAAAUAUAAGUUUUUAUGUAAGACAGUGCUCUCAAGUCAUAAAUGGUAAAUUCUUCUGAAAGUCACAGAGGAAAUUACUCUUAAGACCUCUGUCUUGUUAAGUUAUCAUAGUAAUAAAAUCUCAACCUACUAAGGUAACUUUCUAAACAUGUCAGAGCUUGAAAGUCUCUUGUAAACCUCUAAAUACAAAGAAAACCUAAGUUUAUUUAUUGAAGUUCAAGCUGUAGAAAUCUGACAGCUUUGAGGACUUUAAAAGAUACUGAAUCAACUGCUAUAAAAGGAAAACAGUCUUGACAAUUUUAAUUCAUAUAGUAUUACAACUGAAGAAACUAUUUGAUGAUUUAUGAAGGGCACAUUUGCCGGCUGUGUUUUGGAGUUUUUGCAUGAAAAGUGAAUUUGUACUCAGACUGUUUGCAUCUUCAAAGACCCAUGAGCUUGGCUGUAGGGGCAUGCAACAUUAGGUUUGGAAAUAUAUGAAAUAAAUAUUGCUAUGCCUUAAGAA